This 500-nucleotide ribosomal RNA is filed under the name uncultured bacterium. Its description in RNAcentral is "partial 16S ribosomal RNA". It matches the Rfam family "Bacterial small subunit ribosomal RNA", at positions 355 to 845 of the family's 1533-position model. The record is from RNAcentral.
UAGGGAAUCUUCCACAAUGGACGCAAGUCUGAUGGAGCAACGCCGCGUGAGUGAAGAAGGCUUUCGGGUCGUAAAACUCUGUUGUUGGAGAAGAAUGGUCGGCAGAGUAACUGUUGUCGGCGUGACGGUAUCCAACCAGAAAGCCACGGCUAACUACGUGCCAGCAGCCGCGGUAAUACGUAGGUGGCAAGCGUUAUCCGGAUUUAUUGGGCGUAAAGCGAGCGCAGGCGGUUUUUUAAGUCUGAUGUGAAAGCCCUCGGCUUAACCGAGGAAGCGCAUCGGAAACUGGGAAACUUGAGUGCAGAAGAGGACAGUGGAACUCCAUGUGUAGCGGUGAAAUGCGUAGAUAUAUGGAAGAACACCAGUGGCGAAGGCGGCUGUCUGGUCUGUAACUGACGCUGAGGCUCGAAAGCAUGGGUAGCGAACAGGAUUAGAUACCCUGGUAGUCCAUGCCGUAAACGAUGAAUGCUAGGUGUUGGAGGGUUUCCGCCCUUGCAGUG